GUAGCUGCUAAGAAGGUGCCUGCAGGGCCCUGAGUCAGCAGGGGAGGAAAAGCUGAAGAAGCAUGAGAAAGCUCUGGCAGGGAAGCCUGGGAGAUGCCCUGUGGAAGAAACUGUGAAACCACCUAAUCAACAUCCUAAGAAACUGUGAAAGCAGGGGAGAGACUAAAAGCCAAUUGGGAUGAAGACUGUGUGAUAACAAACUGCUCUCCGGAGGAUCAGAUACACACCAGAAAUGCAACUGAACAACAGGUGGAGCAAAAGCAUUACGAUUGGUUCACUCAGCAAACUAAAGGCAUAAUUUUUACACUCUUUUGUGUAUGUUGGAAGAGGAAGCUUUAUGUUCCAGUCCCCCCCCUGCCCAGGAACUGUCUGUGUUCUGGUAGGUAACAAUGCUCUGUAAUGUCACAAGUCACAUGAAGGUCACUUAGAUUCAGAGGUUCAAUACAUGGAUUUGUAAGAAAGACCUAAAUAAUUACCACACAACACAGCCUCUUUCCAAACAUACCGCCAACUGUGCAAGUCAAGACCAGAUAAUUACAGGAGCAAUAUCUUUGUACCAUUUCCUGGAAGGCUGGAUGGCUUGAAAUUAAGUUUAUCCAGGGUCGACAGUCAAGGCAGGGUCCCAUACCUGCUUUUAUCUGAGUGUGAGUGGGUGGAAUUAAAUAAAACUGCAGGUGUUGUGGGGCAGCCUUGGAGUGUGAG
Molecule: long non-coding RNA, 702 nt
Organism: Mauremys mutica (yellowpond turtle)
Lineage: Eukaryota; Metazoa; Chordata; Testudines; Geoemydidae
Exons: 3
Source: RefSeq, a predicted model, not a curated record